Molecule: unclassified non-coding RNA, 417 nt
Filed under: uncultured Sebacina
Lineage: Eukaryota; Fungi; Basidiomycota; Agaricomycetes; Sebacinales; Sebacinaceae
Description: sequence contains ITS2
Rfam family: 5.8S ribosomal RNA (bases 1-154)
Source: RNAcentral
AACUUUUGGCAACGGAUCACUUGGCUCUCGCAUCGAUGAAGAACGCAGCGAAAUGCGAUAAGUAAUGUGAAUUGCAGAAGUCAGUGAAUCAUCGAAUCUUUGAACGCACCUUGCACCCUUUGGCAUUCCGAAGGGUAUGCUCGUUUGAGUGUCAUUGUACUCUCAUGCUCCCGAUGCUUUUGGAUCGGGAGUGGUGGACUUGGGUGUUGCUGCUUUACUGUGGCUCACCUCAAAUGGAGUAGGGCAACUCUUGGUUGGACAUAGUACGGCGUGAUAAGUGUCUUCGCCGGCGCCUCAUUAGAGGGUGGCCGAUCGGGAGCUCUGUGCUUCAAACCGUCUUCGGACAACAUCUGACAACUUGACCUCAAAUCGAGUAGGACUACCCGCUGAACUUAAGCAUAUCAAUAAGCGGAGGCU